UGCUGUGGCCAUGCCACCCUGAACGUGCCUGAUCUCAUCUGAUCUCAGAAGCUAAGCAGGGUCGAGCCUGGUUAGUACUUGGAUGGGAGACCACCUAGGAAUGCCAGGUGCUGUAGGCA
RNAcentral lists this ribosomal RNA (119 nucleotides) under Pteropus alecto (black flying fox). Lineage: Eukaryota; Metazoa; Chordata; Mammalia; Chiroptera; Pteropodidae. The record is from RNAcentral.